RNAcentral lists this long non-coding RNA (1114 nucleotides) under Calidris pugnax (ruff). RNAcentral describes it as "lncRNA (ENSCPUG00000003702.1)". Lineage: Eukaryota; Metazoa; Chordata; Aves; Charadriiformes; Scolopacidae. The record is from RNAcentral.
AUGGUCCCUCGGGUGGGUUUGGUGGUCUCCCCUCGCUGUUUUUUCCUUGUAGACUGCAGGGAGGGUUUGUAAUGUGAGCGAGGCAGCGCACUGGCUUUGUGUUUUUAAACGAAGAGGCAAAUGUUUCUCGUACUCGUGGGCUGGGAGGAGGAAGGAGGUUUUUUAUAGCACUGCCUACUACACGGGGGUUUUCUCUCAUCUGAUGCCUUAUUUAGUUUCCUCAGUGCUUACUACGCGUACUAUACUUAUACCCAGAAUAUGCAAAGUGCUUUUCAAGCGGAGUUGGUAUCAAAGAAAAGAGGUCCAAAGACUCAAUGAGAAGCUUCAGGCAGAGCUCAAGGGCAGCGUUUACACCCUGAUGGUCAGCAGAAUUUAUUAUACCAGCAUAGGAGCACACAGACUUCUUUAUCCACAUCUUAUUUCUCCUCACCUCCCCUUCUGUAAGCUAAGAAAAACCCAAUCUAAACACAGACCUUUCCUAGUGUAAAUGCUGGUGUUCUAUAAUGUAUACAUCUGUCAUGAAGAAUAACCUGCCUUCUGCAGUGCAGCUUGUAUAUAAUUGCUUUCAGCAGCAGGUAGAGAUGUAUUUAACAUGUUUCUCAUAGCGAUAUAAAACCUUCAAAGCAAAAUUGGUUUUAGUGAUGGCAAUGAUAAAAUACUUAGAUUGUCAAAACAUCGUGAAAAUCACUGUGGAUUUUUUUUAUGCAGACCUGUCUAUUUUAUUUUUUUUUUCAGAGCUAGGUUAGCUUCUCCAGAUUUUGACUUUAACGAUUGAGGUCUGGAGGAGUAACAAAAUGAUUUAAAAGCACAAAACUGGUUGUAAAAAAUGAGGAGGAUUCUAGCCUUCUCGACGCACUUCAGAAGGUUCAGCUUAUAUAGUAAGGAAGUUUGUAGGGCUCUGAUCUAUCUUUUGUUAUCGUGGUUAACCAUUUUAAGAUUAAAAGUUCUUAAUGGAAAAAUAAUUCAAAGUUUGGUAUUACAGUAGUUCAGAGAUUAAAGAAAUAACUAUUAAAUAUACCAUUUGCAACAAUAUGAAAACCCAAGCAAUUUUUAUAAUACUGAAUUACAGUUGGCUAUAAAUAAAUAAUUUAAAAUAUUGAUGGUUUUUCCUUUU